This is a small nucleolar RNA of Ursus americanus (American black bear), 131 nucleotides long. Its record names the gene SNORA72. It matches the Rfam family "Small nucleolar RNA SNORA72". Rfam says of the family: U72 is a member of the H/ACA class of snoRNAs. The snoRNA gene is located in intron 4 of the ribosomal L30 protein gene in human, mouse and chicken. The record is from Ensembl. NCBI's taxonomy places the organism in Eukaryota, Metazoa, Chordata, Mammalia, Carnivora, Ursidae.
CUGCAAAUAUUCUCGCUGUUUUGAUUUUGUAAUAAUCAGGGCAGGCUAAACAUUCACUAUGCUAAGACCAUGCAUGUGUCCCAGACCUAGUUCUUUCCCUAGGUCUGGUUUUAUCAAUGCUGGUAAUAAAC